UGAAAGUGGGCAUGAGGGCAGCAGAAGGAGUAAAGCAUGAGGGAGGAGGUCUCCUCUGGCACCUGAGCUGAAGGGCCCUCAGGGCAGCCCCAAGGCCGCAGCCUCCCGGUUGCCCUGCAGCCUGGCUGCUGAGUCCCAGCUGCUUCAGCUGGCUAGAGGUCCUUACUUAGUUGUCUCAAGCACCUGAAGCCUACCUUGCCCACCUGCGAGUCACUCGCCCCACAAGCAGGGCACCCAUCUGAGUCCUGUGCCCAGGGCAAACCCCACAACUGCCUGGUAGUGGAGCCACGACAGGGCAGUCAGUGCUCAGGAGGUGCCACACAGCCCCCAAGCACAGAUGCGGCCACACAAAGCCGCUAUUAUAGUUAACAGGUUGAGCCAGAUUCUCUGUGUGCCACCCACCGCACUGCACAGGGCCUCUAGGACCCCAUCCCUGCCUGGGUUCCUGGGGCCCCUCAGGCCGCCACCCACUCAACCAGAGGGCCAGAUCUGAGGGGCAGGGCUCGCUGGCCGCAGGAAUUUGGUGAUUGCCGUCGGUUCUGAAGCCAAAGAAGGAAGCAGACCUCUCCGCGCAGGCAGAUGAGAAAACCAAGGCACUGAAAGCUGGAAAGGGGCAGACCAGACGCAAACACUGCUUUCUUGACUCCACUCACUACAAGCUGCUUCCUUAAGCCUAAACUUGGCUCUUGCCUCACAGGACUAUCUUGCAGGAACCUAGGUCUUUGGCUGGUUUUUGAAGCUGAACCCACCUGGUUUUCUC
RNAcentral lists this long non-coding RNA (760 nucleotides) under Homo sapiens (human). RNAcentral describes it as "non-protein coding TLX1NB:1". Lineage: Eukaryota; Metazoa; Chordata; Mammalia; Primates; Hominidae. The record is from RNAcentral.